GUAGGGAAUAUUGCACAAUGGAGGAAACUCUGAUGCAGCGACGCCGCGUGAGUGAUGAAGGCCUUCGGGUCGUAAAGCUCUGUCGCAGGGGAAUAACACAAUGAAGGUACCCUGUAAGAAAGGAUCGGCUAACUUCGUGCCAGCAGCCGCGGUAAGACGAGGGAUCCUAGCGUUGUUCGGAAUCAUUGGGCGUAAAGCGGAUGUAGGUGGCUAUGUAAGUCAGAUGUGAAAGCCUGGGGCUCAACCCCAGAAGUGCAUUUGAUACUGCGUAGCUUGAGUGUCGGAGAGGUUACUAGAAUUGUUGGUGUAGUGGUGAAAUACGUAGAUAUCAACAGGAAUACCGGAGGCGAAGGCGGGUAACUGGCCGAACACUGACACUGAGAUCCGAAAGCGUGGGGAUCAAACAGGAUUAGAAACCCCGGUAGUCC
RNAcentral lists this ribosomal RNA (428 nucleotides) under uncultured bacterium. RNAcentral's name for it is "bacterial SSU rRNA". It matches the Rfam family "Bacterial small subunit ribosomal RNA", at positions 354 to 796 of the family's 1533-position model. The record is from RNAcentral.